Molecule: non-coding RNA, 87 nt
Organism: Acanthosepion pharaonis
Lineage: Eukaryota; Metazoa; Mollusca; Cephalopoda; Sepiida; Sepiidae
Source: the annotation of a GenBank genome assembly
CCAGACUUGAAACACCGGUCCUCGUACGAUCACCGAAGUUAAGCAACGUCGAGCCUGGUCACUACCUAAAUGGGUGACCGCUUGUGU